ACAGUGAUGAUGUCUACCGCUGCUCCCAAAGACAAUAUGUGGGUUUUCCUUGCAAAGAAGUCAGGCGGUAAUCUUUCCGGAACCCGUUGCUGGGACGUUGUUCAGGACACAACAAGUGGUAACUGAAACCCAUCUCCUGGAGACAACUCGCGUGGAAUCUCAUUGUUUACGUUCUUGGCGACAUGGACAAUGUUGAUGACUACCACAUUUGGCAGCGCCGUGUCCACCACGGGAUCAGGUACCAGAAAGACGCAGUUCCCUUUCCAGAGUCGGUUGAUAUCGGUUUGGAGUUCAACGCGGCGUUGGAACGGAAGGACAAGUUGGAUCACAGUCUGCUGACGAACAGCGUGAUGCUGGAGCUCGGGGAUUUCGCCAAAGCGGUGACCAAGUCCGAGAAGUACUUCCUCUUCGAAAUGCUCGCCUUCAACUUUGACCUCGGUGUGGACGUGGACGAUGACAUGCAGUACUAUCAAUAUGCAACGUGUGUUCACCAAAAAAUUAGGUCUCUGAAAGAACAAACCAGGGGGAAACCUGAAAGAUUGAAGGAAGCGUUUCCACUUCCAGAUCUAAGCGCUAUGACGGCGUCCUCGGGUUCAGCGGCGCCUGGACAGUACUACUUCAAAAGAAACAAAAUGGUGGAUAGUUCAGUCCUCACCGAUCCCCGCUGCCGGUCUUCACAAAAGCAGAUGACUGAGAGUGACGGGGCCGCACAAAGCCGUAGGUUCAUUUUAAAAAAGAAAGUCGGGUUACAACAAGCGGAUAACGUUUACCCUCGCUGCCGAGAGCUCGCUGUGACUCUGGCCAUUGGACCGAAUGAAGCACCCAAACAGAAACAAGCCCGGAAUCUGCUGAGCGUCGCCGUGGUGUUGGAGCUGCUGGAUUUUUCCCGAGUGCUUUGUGGAACGCACACUCAGCUCGUGUGCGACUUGGUUGAGCAAAACUUUGGUCUGGAGCUGGAUCCGGCCAUGUUCCGUUUGCAGUUCAAGAAGCUGACGGACAGAAAAUAUUGCGGCGUCACGGCCGAGCAGAGAGACGGCUUCCGAAAGAAGCCUUUUAAGUUCCAGGUCAAGAAGCAGGAACAGAAGUACGCGAGGAGACGGAACCGCGACGCAGAUUUCCAGGAACCGGAAGGACUGACGGUGGCUAGUAAGAGACGGACAACGCUGAGGCACAGGGACGGCGAUGUCCUGGACACUCACCUGUCGUACAUGUGUCCGAUUGAGUUUGAGACAGAAAUGGAUGAGGAGGUCGGACUAGAAAAGAUGAAGCUUGAAAGUCAUUGGUCAGGAACAGCCGUCGAUUCACUGGAUGUGAAGCGAGAGGCGGGAGAAGUUGUUGUCUCCCCAGCGCAACCGCGGACUAAGGGUUCGUUCAACUCUCAUCCGAGCGAUGGGGCGAUCUCGCGUCUGUUCUCGGAAGACGGCGACAACGUCAAGGUAAAAACGCUGAGGCAGAGGCUGUGGAUGAAGAGAGCCGCUCGCUCCAAACACAUCCUGAAGUCGUGGCGAGUGAACGACCUGUUCGCCCGCUGCAGAGCGAUCGGGUUGGACUUCAACGUCGGUUCGGGCAACAAGCAGAGCUUGGAUCUGCGACUGCUCACCAACCUUGUGCUGUGUGAGGUGUUGAGAUUUGCAACUGCCAUGAGAAAGAGGUUACAAGGUUUUUUAUUUCACAUUCUGGACGGCAACUUUAACCUCGUCCAAGACGAACAGCGUCGGCAGAACUUUGUAUACUACUUCAUGACCACGGGAAAGGUUCUUCAGAGCCACCCGGCGAGAAGGAGGUCGGAGUUCCUGUGCAGUCCCUUUCAUUUCCCAGAGAUCUACAACGUGACCAGCAGGUUCCCGGGGGCCUACAUGACUGACAGUAUCUAUAUAAGAAUGACACCGUCACGGAGUCCGUUGGUCACUUUGGUCCAGACUGAAAUAUCUCAACAAUUUUGGAUUGAAUUAUUCAUUCUUUCACUUUAUCUCGCUAAUUCAAGGUUAUUUGUCCGAGCAGGGUGUUCCAGAUGCUUGUCUCCCCAGCUAUUCUUUUCCAGCUCCUGCUGGGGAAUCCUGAGGCCUGUUGCCUGGUCAGAUGGGAUAUAUAAUCCCUUCAGCGAGUUCUGGGUCAACCCAGAAAACCUCAAAUGGAAUGGGCCCAGGAGGAUCUCCAUCAGAUGCCUGAGAAACCUCAACCUCAUCCUUCUGGCUCCCUCUGGAUGUCUGAACUCUUCAACCAAUCAUCUCCACUUACUCUACGGAGGUAAAGCAUCUCCGCCAUCUCGUCCUUUCGGUCUCUACCUGAAAGCUCUGGACCGCAGGUGAGGGCCAAAACUUGGUUCGACUUUUAAAAUCAAAGAUUGCUUAAAGAAUUUUGGUACAGACAAAAAGACGACGCCUGAUGUCUUUGGUGAUCCUCUUUGUGCACCAACGUGAGAUUCACAUUCGUGGUUUUGAAUGAAAUUUCCUUCCACGUUGACAAAUCUCCGGCUCUUCACUUGGUGCCGUCAUCGGGUCAUAACUGUGCUUUCUUCUGUCCUCGCGAUGGCUAACGUCGACUUUAAACGCACCUUAAAGGCUGGCCGUUCAGAUUCUGCCGAACAGACUGUAGCUCUUCAUUUUUGUCACGGUAACGGUGCAGGAGUUGUGUUUCAGCCGGAGUGAGACGCUUCAGGCGGCGAUCACUGAGAAACGCUGGGGCAUCAAUGUCAAAUGGAAAUGAAAGUCAGGGAUCAGCCCAGGGACACUGCUGUCACUCGCUGUGUGUGUGUGUGUGUGUGUGUCUGUGUCUGUGUCUGUGUGUGCGUGCGUGUGUGUGUACGUGUGCGUGUGUGUCUGUGUGUGUGUGUGUGUGUGUGUGUGUGUGCGUGCGUGUGCGUGUGUGUGUACGUGUACGUGUGCGUGUGUGUCUGUGUGUGUGUGUCUGUGUCUGUGUGUGUCUGUGUGUGCGUGUGCGUGUGUGUACGUGUGCGUGUGUGCGUGCGUGUGUGUGUGUGCGUGUGCGUGCGAGUGUACAUGUGCGUGUGUGUGUGUGUGUGUGUCUGUCUGUGUAUUUGUGUGUGUUAAUAAUCAGGGCUGCCCACUAAAUGUCAAUGAUUCCAAUAAUCGGUGCAGGAGCCCCUGAGUCGAAUCAGUCAUUCUGUGUUUGUUGAAAUAAUUAAAACACAUGAUCAUAACCUGAACAUGUGGCACAGUUAAACUGUGCAGGAGGCCCUCGUGUUUUCAUUAUAAUUAACACUUGAGAUCUUUAAAAGACAAACGCCUACUUCAAAUGGAGAUUUACAGUUUCGAGCAGCGGCAGAGCAAAUUUGAGAGGCAGGGCCGGAUGUUGAGGGGAGAAGGAAAAAAAAGAAAGUAGUGAAAGUCAAAAUAAAACACCACACUCCACAUUCUGCUGUAUCCAACUGUCUGCAGCAGCUCUGCACGGGCACACACACACACACAGACACACAGACACACACACACACACACACACACACACACACACACACACACACACACACACACACACACACACACACACACAGACACACACACACACACACACACACACACACACACACACACACACACACACACACACACACACACACACACACACACACACACACACACACACACACACACACACACACACACACACAGCUCUUGUAAUUACCGGUGAGUGUUGAGAGUUUGCUCCUGUAUGGCAGCUGACAGGGACAUUUGGACACCUUGUUACACACACACACACACAGACACACACACACUGCUUCAGGCUGAUGUAUGCUAAUCGAGGGCAUAAAAACUGCAUAAUGUGUAGCUUCUCCACGGAGGGAAAGAGAGAAGCCUCCGCUCGUUCAUAUCAAGAGUUUUCCACUCUCCCUCGUCUUCUCACACACCAGUGUUGAUUAAUCCAAGCGGACGGUGUUUAAUUGAUCACGUGCGCUGCUUUAUCUCUGCUCGUGGUUUUGUGUAGUUGCUUGUGUGUGUGUGUGUGUGUGUGGUUUGUUUUGUGUAUAGCUGCAGGGCGAUGAGCUCUCUUCAUCAUUCUGUUUCCGUGACCUCAGAUUCGGGUCGUGACAAAAUGUGUCGCACUCUGUAGUAAACAGGAGCGAUUCAGAACUCUGCCGUCCAUUAGCCGUGCAGUUUAACUGUACACUGUGUGUGUGUGUGUGUGUGUGUGUGUGAAGGACCACUCAUUGUCAACUUUGAUGCUUGUUCCCAUGGUUACGGGUCCGGCUGGUGUAGAGAAAUCCCAGUCUUUUUCUCCCAGCUCAACACUUUGUGAGACCUGCAGGCUGAGAGAGC
RNAcentral lists this long non-coding RNA (4274 nucleotides) under Scophthalmus maximus (turbot). RNAcentral describes it as "lncRNA (ENSSMAG00000028085.1)". Lineage: Eukaryota; Metazoa; Chordata; Actinopteri; Pleuronectiformes; Scophthalmidae. The record is from RNAcentral.